Aspergillus sydowii CBS 593.65 is the source of this 126-nucleotide non-coding RNA. The record is from Rfam. NCBI's taxonomy places the organism in Eukaryota, Fungi, Ascomycota, Eurotiomycetes, Eurotiales, Aspergillaceae.
GGUGCCGUGGUCUAGUGAGUAACCUUCAGCUUUCCAUUCAAUUAAAAUUUAUAUCUAACCUUUCCAAAGGUGGUAUGACGUCACGUUGUGGCCGUGCCAGCCCCGGUUCGAUUCCGGGCGGCGCCA